Molecule: non-coding RNA, 642 nt
Organism: Clupea harengus (Atlantic herring)
Lineage: Eukaryota; Metazoa; Chordata; Actinopteri; Clupeiformes; Clupeidae
Source: the annotation of a RefSeq genome assembly
UUAAAAGAACAUUUACUACAAACACUUAGAACACAUGACAUACAGACAUAACCUUUCCAAAUUAUACUAUGUGUAAAUGUACCAGUCAGCUUCUCGCAGUCCUUUCUGUUUGGACAAGAGGGAGGAGCUAGAAAGAGAAGAUCGUGAUGCCUUCAUGGUGCCUACCCAUGGGUGUCUUGAAAGGACUGACAUUCAAGUUGUGUAGACCUUGGAUUUGCAGACCUCCACAAUGAUCUUCUUUCUGGGCAUAUUACUCAUGGACCUUUCAGGUAAAACCUCUGGGAAUAAAAUCACUCCAAACAGUGUUGAACUCAACACAGUGGAGGGAGAUCAUUUAACCCUCUCCUGUAACUACAGCUCUGGAGACUAUCUACAGUGGUAUCACCAGUAUCCAAGAUCAGCACCCCAGUUUCUCUUGUUCAUCACUAAUCCUGAUAAGACAGAAAAAUCAGAUGUGGAACCACGAUUCUCUGGGAGAAUGAAUAAGGAGAGAAAUCAGAUGUUUCUGGACAUCUCCUCUGCUAAACUCUCAGACUCUGCUCUCUACUACUGUGCCCUGAGGCCCACAGUGAAGGAAACUGGCAAACUGUCUUACAAAAACUGACAUGACGUGACAUGAGAUGACAUACAUCAUACCUUACU